GCCUCUGUGGUCUGUGGUAAAGACACUCCCGAUUUAUUAACAGAGUGGAAUCUGGGAGGGUUGAGGGUUCGAAUCCCUUCGGAGGCA
Mycena leptocephala is the source of this 87-nucleotide non-coding RNA. The record is from the annotation of a GenBank genome assembly. Lineage: Eukaryota; Fungi; Basidiomycota; Agaricomycetes; Agaricales; Mycenaceae.